This 229-nucleotide ribosomal RNA is filed under the name uncultured bacterium. RNAcentral describes it as "partial 16S ribosomal RNA". It matches the Rfam family "Bacterial small subunit ribosomal RNA", at positions 568 to 796 of the family's 1533-position model. The record is from RNAcentral.
CACGUAGGCGGUCUAUUAAGCUUGAUGUGAAAGCCCUCGGCCCAACCGGGGAACUGCAUUGAAUACUGGUAGACUCGAGGAUAGGAGGGGUGAGUGGAACUCCUGGUGGAACGGUGAAAUGUGUAGAUAUCAGGAGGAACACCGGUGGCGAAAGCGGCUCACUGGCCUAUCUCUGACGCUGAGGUGCGAAAGCUAGGGGAGCGAACAGGAUUAGAUACCCUGGUAGUCC